UGAGGGAAAGAUGAAAAGCACUUUGGAAAGAGAGUGAAACAGUACGUGAAAUUGUUGAAAGGGAAACGCUUGAAGUCAGUCGCGUCGACCGAGACUCAGCCUCGCCUCGGCUUGGUGUACUUCUCGGCUGACGGGUCAGCAUCAAUUUCGCCUCUUGGAUAAUGGCGAGGGAAAUGUGACACCUUUACGGUGUGUUAUAGUCUCUCGUCGCAUGCAAGGGUCGGGAUUGAGGAACUCAGCACGCGCCUUUGGGUGUCGGGGCUUUGCCCACGAUACGUGCUUAGGAUGUUGGCGUAAUGGCUUUAAACGACCCGUCUUGAAACACGGACCAAGGAGUCUAACAUGCCUGCGAGUGUUCGGGUGGAAAACCCGUGCGCGCAAUGAAAGUGAAAGUUGGGACCUCUGUCGUGGAGGGCACCGACGCCCGGACCAGACCUUCUGUGACGGCUCUGCGGUAAAGCAUGCAUGUUAGGACCCGAAAGAUGGUGAACUAUGCCUGAAUAGGGUGAAGCCAGAGGAAACUCUGGUGGAGGCUCGUAGCGAUUCUGACGUGCAAAUCGAUCGUCAAAUUUGGGUAUAGGGGCGAAAGA
Molecule: ribosomal RNA, 590 nt
Filed under: Russula cf. aurantioflammans VH-2016
Lineage: Eukaryota; Fungi; Basidiomycota; Agaricomycetes; Russulales; Russulaceae
Description: eukaryotic LSU rRNA
Rfam family: Eukaryotic large subunit ribosomal RNA
Source: RNAcentral